AUGGCUGUUACCGCGCACUAUAUAGAUGAUUCUUGGAACCUAAAGAGCUUGCUUAUGAGGUUUGCUUAUGUGCCCUGUCCACAUUCAGCUGAGGUUAUAUGUGAAGCCUUGUAUGAGUGUCUUGUUGAGUGGCACCUUGAGAGGAAGAUCUCCACCGUCACUUUGGACAACUGCACAUCAAAUGACAAGGCUAUGGGAAUAUUGCCAGAUAAGUUGGAUACAAGCUCUCUCAUGCUGGAUGGUCAAUUACUGCAUAUGCGUUGUGCCGCUCACAUAUUAAACUUAUUAAUUGUAAAAGAUGGAAUGAGUGUCUUAGAGAAAGGUAUAGAGAGGUUGUGA
This 339-nucleotide ribosomal RNA is filed under the name Triticum aestivum (bread wheat). Its description in RNAcentral is "partial small subunit ribosomal RNA". The record is from RNAcentral. Lineage: Eukaryota; Viridiplantae; Streptophyta; Magnoliopsida; Poales; Poaceae.